GGACUACAGGGGUAUCUAAUCCCGUUCGCUCCCCUGGCUUUCGCACCUCAGCGUCAGUCACCUCCCAGGACACUGCCUUCGCCUUUGGUAUUCCUCCGGAUAUCUACGCAUUUCACCACUCCACCCGGAAUUCUAUGUCCCUCUGAGGCCCUCCAGUCCGACCGUCUUCCCGGCACUCCCGUAGUGAAGCCACGGGCUGGCACCGGAAACGCGCCGAACCGCCUGCGUGCGCUUUACGCCCAGUAACUCCGGACAACGCUUGCCCCCUACGUAUUACCGCGGCUGCUGGCAC
RNAcentral lists this ribosomal RNA (292 nucleotides) under uncultured bacterium. Its description in RNAcentral is "partial 16S ribosomal RNA". The record is from RNAcentral.